CCUACGGGAGGCAGCAGUGGGGAAUAUUGGACAAUGGGCGAAAGCCUGAUCCAGCAAUGCCGCGUGAGUGAUGAAGGCCUUCGGGUCGUAAAGCUCUUUUACCAGGGAUGAUAAUGACAGUACCUGGAGAAUAAGCUCCGGCUAACUCCGUGCCAGCAGCCGCGGUAAUACGGAGGGAGCUAGCGUUGUUCGGAAUUACUGGGCGUAAAGAGUACGUAGGCGGUUAUUCAAGUCAGAGGUGAAAGCCCGGGGCUCAACCCCGGAACUGCCUUUGAAACUAGAUAACUAGAGUCUUGGAGAGGUUAGUGGAAUUCCGAGUGUAGAGGUGAAAUUCGUAGAUAUUCGGAAGAACACCAGUGGCGAAGGCGACUAACUGGACAAGUACUGACGCUGAGGUACGAAAGCGUGGGGAGCAAACAGGAUUAGAUACCCUGGUAGUCCACGCCGUAAACGAUGAUAACUAGUUGUUCGGUCACUUGGUGACUGAGUGACGCAGCUAACGCAUUAAGUUAUCCGCCUGGGGAGUACGGUCGCAAGAUUAAAACCUAAAUGAAUUGACCGGNNGAAGAGUGCGAGACGACGACGAGGAGAGG
This 593-nucleotide ribosomal RNA is filed under the name uncultured bacterium. RNAcentral's name for it is "bacterial SSU rRNA". It matches the Rfam family "Bacterial small subunit ribosomal RNA", at positions 338 to 961 of the family's 1533-position model. The record is from RNAcentral.